GUGCAACGCCACAAACUUGCGCUCCCGCUCUCUGUCAGGAACGGGGCGCUCACUGGUCGGUUCUUGGCUCAAGCUGAACAGAAAAGAGGAGUAUUUUCUGUUAUAUUCCCAUCUCACCUACGUGACUCUUCCUUUGCAUCGCAUCACCACAGAUAUUCUGGAGGUGCGACAAAAGCCCAUUUUGAUGACAUAACAUUUACUGACCCCUCAAAAUCCAUGUUACCAAGUGCCUCCUCACAUCAGGCCCCCGAGGAACCGCCGUGUGGCGUACAGACAGAUAACCAAAAACUAUGAACAAUACGCAACAGUGAACGAGAAGAGGAAAAGGGAAACCUAAGGAACAAACUCCAUCAAGAAGUGCCUCUUCCACAUGUUCUUCAGAGAGACGGCCUCCAGAAUGGCUCGAGACCUGGAACUAAAGUGGCACUAGACUGUGACGCUAAAGGGAAAUGUUUAUUGGGAGAUGAAACCCAAUAAACGAAUGUCAUUCUUGUAAAUACACUGCUGCUUAGAUACUCAGUGAACUGUACCGACCACAGCCGUCUCCCUUCAACCCUCCUUCAAGAGACACUCA
Long non-coding RNA from Sinocyclocheilus rhinocerous, 574 nucleotides. RefSeq lists it as uncharacterized. The transcript has 2 exons. The record is from RefSeq and is a predicted model, not a curated record. Lineage: Eukaryota; Metazoa; Chordata; Actinopteri; Cypriniformes; Cyprinidae.